UACGGAAGGCAGCAGUGGGGAAUAUUGCACAAUGGGCGAAAGCCUGAUGCAGCUAUGCCGCGUGUAUGAAGAAGGCCUUAGGGUUGUAAAGUACUUUCAUCGGGGAGGAAAAACAAAACUAAUAAUUUUAUUUCUUGACGUUACCCGAAAAAGAAGCACCGGCUAACUCCGUGCCAGCAGCCGCGGUAAUACGGAGGGUGCUAGCGUUAAUCAGAAUUACUGGGCGUAAAGAGCACGUAGGUGGUUUUUUUAAGUCAGAUGUGAAAUCCCUGGGCUUAACCUAGGAACUGCAUUUUGAAACUGAAAUACUAGAGUAUCGUAGAGGGAGGUAGAAUUCUAGGUGUAGCGGUGAAAUGCGUAGAUAUCUGGAGGAAUACCUGUGGCGAAAGCGGCCUCCUAAACGAAUACUGACACUGAGGUGCGAAAGCGUGGGGAGCAAAACAGGGAUUAAUACC
Molecule: ribosomal RNA, 455 nt
Filed under: uncultured bacterium
Lineage: Bacteria
Description: bacterial SSU rRNA
Rfam family: Bacterial small subunit ribosomal RNA
Source: RNAcentral